UUUCUGCGCACGCUGUUUUGAUUCGAUACAGGAGUCAUUUAAUAUGCUCAUAUUUCCUGUCUGAAGUUGAUUCUAUCCUAGUGAAGCCAACCCUUGUCAAAGUAGAGUGCAGCUCUCCGGGAAGUGCACCCAGAACUCGUUUUAAGGGCUCCACAGCCAAAGCUAUUCUAUAAUGGAGCACACAUCUCCUGCAGCCCUCAUGUGGAAACCCAUCACACCAACACCUUCCUACCAGUUGGGCCAACAUCUGACAGCUAGAGGGAGUGGACAAUAUGGGUCACCUGGCCCAGUACAAGAUGAAUGCUGCUCUCUCAUUUGGUCCUGAAUGCUACUCCCCCACCCCCAAUGGGCAGCAGCAACUGCAGAGACUCAUAAUUGGUCAUAGUGAUGAAAAUAACGAACUGCUCAGCCAUAAGUUGGAUUUCUAUAUAUACCAUCACCUCCAAGACUCAGGGAGCAUUACGGGAGAGGCUGUCAUCUGGGCAUAAGAUGGCCAUUGAACGCUUGAACUCAGAGCAGCAGUGACUACCUGCCAAGAGCGUGACCAUCAUGUCAACAUUCUGUAACUGGAGGUGGGAUGUGUGUGUAUGUAUAUAUGAAACUAUUGGAAUAAACCCAUUACUACAUGUAAUAAGUACAGGCAAGAAGAAUGACAACAAAAGACAGGAGCAUGCUCCAAGGUCGUCAUGGAAGGAUCACUCUCUCACGACCAGUUUGGGCUCAUUUACUACAGCCCUGUUAGCACAGCAGCUUUUCAGGAAGGGAAAUGCCCCCAAUUG
Long non-coding RNA from Mus musculus (house mouse), 779 nucleotides. RefSeq annotates it as predicted gene, 39643. The transcript has 4 exons. The record is from RefSeq and is a predicted model, not a curated record. Lineage: Eukaryota; Metazoa; Chordata; Mammalia; Rodentia; Muridae.